This 440-nucleotide ribosomal RNA is filed under the name uncultured bacterium. RNAcentral's name for it is "partial 16S ribosomal RNA". It matches the Rfam family "Bacterial small subunit ribosomal RNA", at positions 338 to 795 of the family's 1533-position model. The record is from RNAcentral.
CCUACGGGGGGCAGCAGUAGGGCAUAUUGCUCAAUGGGGGAAACCCUGAAGCAGCAACGCCGCGUGGAGGAUGAAGGUUUUCGGAUUGUAAACUCCUUUUGUUAGAGAAGAUAAUGACGGUAUCUAACGAAUAAGCACCAGCUAACUCCGUGCCAGCAGCCGCGGUAAUACGGAGGGUGCAAGCGUUACUCGGAAUCACUGGGCGUAAAGAGGGCGUAGGCGGGAUAGCAAGUCAGAUGUGAAAUCCCAUGGCUUAACCAUAGAACUGCAUUUGAAACUGUUAUUCUAGAGUAUGGGAGAGGUAGGUGGAAUUCUUGGUGUAGGGGUAAAAUCCGUAGAGAUCAAGAGGAAUACUCAUUGCGAAGGCGACCUGCUAGAACAUAACUGACGCUGAUGCGCGAAAGCGUGGGGAGCAAACAGGAUUAGAUACCCCGGUAGUC